Small nuclear RNA from Ornithorhynchus anatinus (platypus), 106 nucleotides. The record is from RefSeq and is a predicted model, not a curated record. Lineage: Eukaryota; Metazoa; Chordata; Mammalia; Monotremata; Ornithorhynchidae.
GUUUUGUCGUCACUGAGAAAAAGCCUUUUUAUGUAUUGAAAGUCAAUGAUUAGCACGGCCCCUCCGCAAGGAUGACAUGCAAAUUUAUGAAACGUUCCAUAAUUUU